CAGAAGAAGAUGAAGAAGAGGUGAUAAGUUGGA
RNAcentral lists this small RNA (33 nucleotides) under Arabidopsis thaliana (thale cress). RNAcentral describes it as "ATSL100160". The record is from RNAcentral. Lineage: Eukaryota; Viridiplantae; Streptophyta; Magnoliopsida; Brassicales; Brassicaceae.